This 2608-nucleotide long non-coding RNA is filed under the name Oryzias sinensis (Chinese medaka). Its description in RNAcentral is "lncRNA (ENSOSIG00000022261.1)". Lineage: Eukaryota; Metazoa; Chordata; Actinopteri; Beloniformes; Adrianichthyidae. The record is from RNAcentral.
AUGCUCGUCCAGUCCACCAUGGAUGUACCUGGAGAGAGACUGAACAUUCGUUACAGAGAUGAAGACGGGACGAUCCUCUACGAGUCUUACAUCCCACCUUCUCGGGACGCUGUCCACUUGCCGACGUACAUUCUCUACCUGCUCAUUGCUGUUUUUGUAGUGAUUUCUGUUCUUUAUGCCAUCAUUGGACACCUCAUCAAAGACCUAGUCCUUGACUUUGGAGAUUGGUUGUUUGGGGAGCAGCCCGAGGAGGUGGUGGUGAACUACUGCCAAGCUAAAGACAAGUUCAUGGCUGAUUGGGCUCCAGAAACCUCCCCUGAACUGGAGGCGAUGGCUCGGGCAGAGGAGAACAAAAUAGUUGACAGGGACUUCAUGAAAGCGCCAGCCAUCUGGAUCAUCUCCACAGAACCUCGAGCAGCAAGGACCGGACCCCGUGUGGUUUUUGGGAAAAUGUCUUAAAGGCAGAGCAGAGGAAAAACCUUCUGCUCAUCGUGUGCUGCUGUGAAAAUACAACUGAGGGGAUUGUUGCAGCAUUUCUACCUGAGACUCAAAAUGUGCUGAUGUGUUGGAAGUGGUGGGCUCUGAGGCUGCAGUGGAGCUUUGAGGACAUCUAGUGUCUGCGUUGGUUUCCAGCAUGUACAUCUGAAAUGAACCUGAACAAAGAAGACUUACUGUGAAGGAACUUUACAUUGUACUUUAGUUACCACCAUUGUAGUACUGUGUCCUUCCGACAACUUAAGUAAAUUUAAUUUAAAUCAUGUUUAAUUAAACAGUAAAAUUGUUCUGAAAUUAGAAUCAAACCUCUAAAAGCAAUUACCAGUGUUAAUUACCAGUGUUUUUUUAAUGGAUUAUGCCAACUAUGCAUGAAUAUUUAUUAGAAAAAAGGAAUAACUCAGUAGGGAGGGUUAAAUAAGUUUGCUUCUUCCCACUCAGUUCGAACAAUAAAUCAAACUGUUCUUGACAUUGAUGGAUAGUCAAUAUACUUAAUUACUCUAAUGUGACGUGUGUGUGAACUAUAUGCAAAAAUGCAAAAAAAUUUAUUCAUGAUAAGGAGUAAUUGCACGGUCUAGAAUAUUUGUUCUUCGUUAAUUAUCCUUUAUAUUCUAAGCAAUGAAAUAAUUUGAUAGAAUUUGAUUUUUCAUUGCAGCAUUCAGUUAUUUUUAAUGCUUUCAAUCAAAUAAAUAGACCAAAUAAAACCUAAUUUAAAUGUUUUUGUUCAUUUUUGUAUCCUAAAAAUACUGGGAAACAUUUUUGCAUUAUGCAUUUUUCCUUUAUUGGACUAAGAGCAGUUAAUAGCAGAAACUAUUUGUCAAAUUUGUUUAUCUUUCUUCUCUGUCAUGUCUGAGUGUUUCAUAAUGCAGCUCUGAUAUUUAUGCUAAUAAAGGGUGAUUUGUGACAUAGUCAGAAAGCCCAAUUAAAUAUGAAUGAUUGAGUCCAUUGGUGUUGUUACUUUAACCAAAAUACCUAUAAUUUAUUUUGACAUUUUCAUCAUGAUCACAGAGGUAGUUCAGAAAUAAUUAAAACAGAUUUUUAUUAGAGGCUCCUGAAAGUCUGCUUGAAGUCAAAACAGAGGAAGCAGUCACAUUUAUAAGGUUAAAAAAACUUUUAAAAUAAUCUGCACUUUGUCUCUUAUGAAAAACUCAAAAUGAAGAAAAUCCUUUUCUUGUACAAUGGUGCAUCACUAAUGUGUGCGCUACUGUGUUUAAUCUCAUGUCUCUGAGGACUGAGAAUGUGCAAUAUAAUCUCAAUUUCUUUUUUGGGGGGGGUGAUACUUCCCUUGUUUUUUGUUUGUUCUGUUUUUGAGUUGCCCCUGUCAGGCACACCUGGUUUAAGUUGCCAUCCACAGCUGUCUUGAUUUGUGUUAAUUAUCCUCAGUUUAUAUUUGUCUGGUCUUCAGCUUUAUCUGAUUUGUUGCCUUUUUGUUUCUCCAUGGGUUUUGACAUGUUAAGAGUUAUGAUUUAAUUAAUGUUUUUGCCACCAGGCCUGGUCUCCUGCAGAAUGGGUCCUACUCCAACAGUUCCUGACACCACCAAAGAGAUAACAAACGUUUUUCUUUAAAAGUAUUUUAGUCACGCUCUACACUAAACUCAACCGGGAAUUUUAUUUUAACCCUUGUGCUAUCCUAGGCACUUUAACAUUGGGGUCACCUACACCCCAUUAGACGGUGCCCUGAACCUUUUUUCUUCAAUGAUCUGUGAUCUUCACUGGUGUCCAGGGAUUGCAUGAAAUCCUCUCCACCUUUAUCCAUAUUUUUCAUGGUAGGGAUAACACGUCAAUGGUCAUCUUGACCCCAUAGGAUAGCACAAUGGUUAAAGUGAUUUUCUGACUGCAGUUCCAUCACAAACACGACAGACUUCAGAUUGUUACUGAUGAUUGUAAUGGCACCUAUUGUCCAGUAGAGGGCAAAAAAGAGCACAAAUGAACGGGGAAAUACCAUUUUCCACGGAGAUGAAAGAAAAUUGCAUCAAGAAUGCUGGAAAAUGUUUUUUAAUCUAUUUAAUAUUUUAUUGUUCUUUUCUAAGAAUUUAGCUGUAAAGCCUUGUAGCAUCCUGCUGACUUAAAAUAGCAUGGGUUGUCUUGAGUAACACAAUAAAAUAUUAAAUAAAUG